RNAcentral lists this ribosomal RNA (1232 nucleotides) under metagenome. RNAcentral's name for it is "bacterial LSU rRNA". It matches the Rfam family "Bacterial large subunit ribosomal RNA", at positions 1564 to 2808 of the family's 2925-position model. The record is from RNAcentral.
UGAAUACGAGACGCUAAGGCGUCGAAGUAGUGUAUGUCAUACUUCCAAGAAAAGCUUGCACUGUCAUAGAUAAAAAACGCCUGUACCAUAACCGACACAGGUGGGUAGGUAGAGUAUACUAAGGGGCGCGAGAUAACUCUCUCUAAGGAACUCGGCAAAAUAACUCCGUAACUUCGGGAGAAGGAGUGCCUUAUUUAUAAGGCUGCAAUAACAAGAUCCAAGCAACUGUUUAUCAAAAACACAGGUCUCCGCUAAGUCGUAAGACGAUGUAUGGGGGCUGACGCCUGCCCAGUGCCAGAAGGUUAAAGAAGUUGGUUAGCUUUUGCGAAGCUGAUGACUGAAGCCCUGGUGAACGGCGGCCGUAACGAUAACGGUCCUAAGGUAGCGAAAUUCCUUGUCGGGUAAGUUCCGACCCGCACGAAAGGCGUAAUGAUUUGGAUACUGUCUCGGAGAGGGGCUCGGUGAAAUAGACUUGUCUGUGAAGAUGCGGACUACCUGCACCAGGACAGAAAGACCCUAUGAAGCUUUACUGUAACUUGAAAUUGAAAUUGGACUUUAUUCGCGCAGCAUAGGUGGGGGGCGUUGAUUAUAAUCUCGUGGGAUUAUUGGAGCCAUCAGUGAGAUACCACUCUUGUAAUGUUAGAUUUCUAACUUUGAAUCAUUAUCUGGUCAAAGAACAGUUUCAGGGCAGUUUGACCGGGGCGGUCGCCUCCUAAACGGUAACGGAGGCGUACAAAGGUUUCCUCUGAACGGUUAGAAAUCGUAUCUAGAGUGUAAAGGCAUAAGGAAGCUUGACUGUGAGACCUACAAGUCGAGCAGGGACGAAAGUCGGUCUUAGUGAUCUGACGGUACUGAGUGGAAAGGCCGUCACUCAACGGAUAAAAGUUACUCUAAGGAUAACAGGCUGAUCUCCCCCAAGAGUUCACAUCGACGGGGAGGUUUGGCACCUUGAUGUCGGCUCAUCGCAUCCUGGGGCGGUAGUACGUCCCAAGGGUUGGGCUGUUCGCCCAUGAAAGCGGUACGCGAGCUGGGUUCAGAACGUCGUGAGACAGUUCGGUCCAUAUCCGGUGUAGGCGUUAGAAUAUUGAGAGGAGCCUUCUUUAGUACGAGAGGACCGAGAAGGACAUACCUCUGGUGUACCAGUUAUCGUGCCAACGGUAAACGCUGGGUAGCUAUGUAUGGAGUGGAUAACCGCUGAAAGCAUCUAAGUGGGAAGCCCACCUCAAGAUAAG